Molecule: ribosomal RNA, 259 nt
Filed under: uncultured bacterium
Lineage: Bacteria
Description: partial 16S ribosomal RNA
Rfam family: Bacterial small subunit ribosomal RNA
Source: RNAcentral
GUCCACACCGUAACGAUGAUUACUAGGUGUUGGAGGAUUGACCCCUUCAGUGCCGCAGUUAACACAAUAAGUAAUCCACCUGGGGAGUACGACCGCAAGGUUGAAACUCAAAGGAAUUGACGGGGCCCGCACAAGCAGUGGAGUAUGUGGUUUAAUUCGACGCAACGCGAAGAACCUUACCAAGUCUUGACAUCCCUUGACGAUGCUGGAAACAGUAUUUCUCUUCGGAGCAAGGAGACAGGUGGUGCAUGGUUGUCGU